AGCAGGUCAGAGAGGCUGCAGUGUUUCUGCUGUCUUAGCCCUACAAACCCCAGAAGGCCUGGGAGCAGGGAGAGGGGCUGGCUGGAGCAUCCAACCGUGAGGAUCAGAUAGGGGCAGAUCGGAAGAGAGAUAGAGACCUGAACUUCCCUUCUGCUGAAAUCAGACAGUGCACAGGGGGCAGGUGAGAGCAGGGAGCAACUGUGGAUUGUCCCCUUCAGGUCCCGUCAGGAGCUAAAACUGCUGGGCUGUUUCCAUCUGACUUGGUUCCCUGCACUGCCCCAAUGCUCCUGUCUCUGUGCCUUUUGCUUCCCGUAAUGAAUCCCAGCAGCCAGGAGAUCUGCUCAGCUCCCGGUAAGUCCAUCUCUCACCCUUCUAUCUAUAAAAAGAAAAGGAGGACUUGUGGCACCUUAGAGACUAACAAAUUUAUUUGAGCAUAAGCUUUCGUGAGCUACAGCUCACUUCAUCGGAUGCAUUCAGUGGAAAAAAAAAGGUUUGUACUAAUAGAAAGGGUUUCCAGCUGCAGAAGAUUAUUAUUAAUUAUUAUUAUUAUUACCGUGGCCCCCAAAGAGCUGACAAUCUCAUAUCUGACAUUAUCCUCCUGAUACUCAGCUGUGCAGAAAUAAGGUCCUGGUCCAGAGACAUUGCGCACACCCCGCAGCCCUUGUGCAGGCAGAAUUAAUCUACACUGCAAUUAGACGCAUGCGGUUGGCCUGUGCUGUGUAAAGAGCCCUAUAGCUUGAGCCCUGGAAGCCCGAGUGAGCUGGCACUGCCCAGCAGCUGGUUUUUAAUUGCUGUGUAGAGAUAAGACAGACCCUUAGCAGCUGCAAGCUGCUUCCACGGCAAUCAACUUCCUUUAGUAAACUGCUCCCUGGGCUGCCCCCUAAAUGGGCACCACCAAUGACCCCAUUGAUGGCUCUGACCCAUUGGCCUUCCCAGGUGUUGUCCCUGCCCCAACCCUCUACAUGAGCCAAAGAUCGGCCCAGGAGGGGGACUCUGUGCUGCUCCAGUGCUCUGUGAUCUCCCAGGCCCCAGCCAACCGCGUAAUCUUCUGUAAGGAUGGGGAGGAGGUUUUCUCCCAGACAGGGUUGGAGAAGAAGGUCACCUACAGCUACGCCCAUGCGGUGUCCAUGGGCAGCUCUGGCAAUUACUCCUGCGGGUAUGAGAUCAAGGAGAGCGACAAGCGAGUGAACAGAUCCCAGCUCAGCCCUGCCAAGCACCUCAGCGUUACUGCGCUGAGUCCCAGCAGCCAGGA
Chelonia mydas (Green sea turtle) is the source of this 1252-nucleotide long non-coding RNA. RefSeq lists it as uncharacterized. The transcript has 3 exons. NCBI's taxonomy places the organism in Eukaryota, Metazoa, Chordata, Testudines, Cheloniidae. The record is from RefSeq and is a predicted model, not a curated record.